Molecule: ribosomal RNA, 100 nt
Filed under: Notechis scutatus (mainland tiger snake)
Lineage: Eukaryota; Metazoa; Chordata; Lepidosauria; Squamata; Elapidae
Source: RNAcentral
GUAGCUAGCAAAAUCUCAGUUGAUUUCAAAAAGUUAAGCAACGCUGGCCCUGGAUAGUACUUUCAUGGUAAACUGCCAAGAAAUACAAGGGCUAUAGACU